Podarcis lilfordi (Lilford's wall lizard) is the source of this 82-nucleotide non-coding RNA. The record is from the annotation of a GenBank genome assembly. NCBI's taxonomy places the organism in Eukaryota, Metazoa, Chordata, Lepidosauria, Squamata, Lacertidae.
GCCUGGAUAGCUCAGUUGGUUGGAGCAUGGUGCUGAUAACACAGGGGUUGCAGGUUUGAUCCCUGUAUAUUCAAUCCCAGCA